ACUAGCAGUAAGAGUUUGAUCAUGGCUCAGAGCGAACGCUGGCGGCAUGCUUAACACAUGCAAGUCGCGCGGCCGGGUAACCGGCAGCGGCGGACGGGUGAGUAUCGCGUAGGAAUGUAUCCUGAGGUGGGGGACAACCCUGGGAAACUGGGGCUAAUACCGCAUAUGGACUGAGGUUCAAAGCCGUGAGGCGCCUUGGGAGCAGCCUACGUCCGAUUAGGUAGUUGGUGGGGUAAAGGCCUACCAAGCCUGCGAUCGGUAGCUGGUCUGAGAGGACGAUCAGCCACACUGGGGCUGAGACACGGCCCAGACUCCUACGGGAGGCAGCAGUGGGGAAUAUUGGACAAUGGGCGCAAGCCUGAUCCAGCCAUGCCGUGUGGGUGAUGAAGGCCUUCGGGUUGUAAAGCCCUUUUGGCGGGGACGAUGAUGACGGUACCCGCAGAAUAAGCCCCGGCUAACUUCGUGCCAGCAGCCGCGGUAAUAC
This 484-nucleotide ribosomal RNA is filed under the name uncultured bacterium. RNAcentral's name for it is "bacterial SSU rRNA". It matches the Rfam family "Bacterial small subunit ribosomal RNA", at positions 1 to 526 of the family's 1533-position model. The record is from RNAcentral.